CACCUACGGGUGGCAGCAGUGGGGAAUUUUGGACAAUGGGCGCAAGCCUGAUCCAGCCAUGCCGCGUGCAGGGUGAAGGCCUUCGGGUUGUAAACUGCUUUUGUACGGAACGAAAAGGUUCUUUUUAAUAAAGAGAGCUCAUGACGGUACCGUAAGAAUAAGCACCGGCUAACUACGUGCCAGCAGCCGCGGUAAUACGUAGGGUGCAAGCGUUAAUCGGAAUUACUGGGCGUAAAGCGUGCGCAGGCGGUGAUGUAAGACAGUUGUGAAAUCCCCGGGCUCAACCUGGGAACUGCAAUUGUGACUGCAUCGCUGGAGUGCGGCAGAGGGGGAUGGAAUUCCGCGUGUAGCAGUGAAAUGCGUAGAUAUGCGGAGGAACACCGAUGGCGAAGGCAAUCCCCUGGGCCUGCACUGACGCUCAUGCACGAAAGCGUGGGGAGCAAACAGGAUUAGAUACCCUGGUAGUCCACGCCCUAAACGAUGUCAACUGGUUGUUGGGAAUUCACUUUCUCAGUAACGAAGCUAACGCGUGAAGUGACC
RNAcentral lists this ribosomal RNA (540 nucleotides) under uncultured bacterium. Its description in RNAcentral is "bacterial SSU rRNA". It matches the Rfam family "Bacterial small subunit ribosomal RNA", at positions 335 to 870 of the family's 1533-position model. The record is from RNAcentral.